GGCCUCCCAGUGCUCACCACAGGCUGUGUUCUUCCAUUGACUCUGUAGAAGGAGGAGGCACAGCAAAUCUUCCCUAUAUACACCUCAGCCCAAGCCCUGUGUCUGGUCUGUAUUGUGAAUCGGGAGACAUGG
Molecule: small nucleolar RNA, 132 nt
Filed under: Carlito syrichta (Philippine tarsier)
Lineage: Eukaryota; Metazoa; Chordata; Mammalia; Primates; Tarsiidae
Description: Small nucleolar RNA SNORA51 (ENSTSYG00000029528.1)
Rfam family: Small nucleolar RNA SNORA51
About the family: ACA51 is a member of the H/ACA class of snoRNA that guide the sites of modification of uridines to pseudouridines.
Source: Rfam by way of RNAcentral